Molecule: long non-coding RNA, 471 nt
Filed under: Mus spicilegus (steppe mouse)
Lineage: Eukaryota; Metazoa; Chordata; Mammalia; Rodentia; Muridae
Description: lncRNA (ENSMSIG00000011758.1)
Source: RNAcentral
GAGAAACAGGUGUAGCUAAACUGCCUCCCUGCAAGGCUGCAGACAGUCAGCUAGCUUUCCUUAUUAAUCCAGUACUGCUUGUCCAGGAAUAGUGCCUCCCAUGGUGGGUUUGGUACUUCCCCAUCAGUCAACAAAAAAAAGACCAUCUCACACAGAAAUACAUACAGGCCAGCUGAUCUAGACAAUUCUAGCUGAUUCUAGGUCACGAGCAAUUAACACUUAUGCUACAAUUUGCUAUUCUCCCCGUUUGGAGGAGGAAAGUCUGAUUAGAGACCUUUCUGAUAAGGAGCCUAUUGAAGACUGAGCCAUCCUGGGAGCCUGAAACACAGAAUAAUCAUAAGCCGAAGAGCGUGGGAAGAGAAGAGCAAACCAACGUCAGAAAUGGCCAACAGGAUAAAAUUCUAAGGAACAAGAUAGAAAUGAAUGAACCUCAGACUAACUAAUGAGGACCACAAGGUGUCUGGCUGGAGG